RNAcentral lists this ribosomal RNA (468 nucleotides) under uncultured bacterium. RNAcentral describes it as "partial 16S ribosomal RNA". It matches the Rfam family "Bacterial small subunit ribosomal RNA", at positions 28 to 507 of the family's 1533-position model. The record is from RNAcentral.
GACGAACGCUGGCGGCGUGCUUAACACAUGCAAGUCGAACGGAAAGGCCCUGCUUUCGUGGGGUGCUCGAGUGGCGAACGGGUGAGUAACACGUGAGUAACCUGCCCUUGACUUUGGGAUAACUUCAGGAAACUGGGGCUAAUACCGGAUAGGAGCUCCUGCUGCAUGGUGGGGGUUGGAAAGUUUCGGCGGUUGGGGAUGGACUCGCGGCUUAUCAGCUAGUUGGUGGGGUAGUGGCUUACCAAGGCUUUGACGGGUAGCCGGCCUGAGAGGGUGACCGGCCACAUUGGGACUGAGAUACGGCCCAGACUCCUACGGGAGGCAGCAGUGGGGAAUAUUGCACAAUGGGCGGAAGCCUGAUGCAGCAACGCCGCGUGCGGGAUGACGGCCUUCGGGUUGUAAACCGCUUUCGCCUGUGACGAAGCGUGAGUGACGGUAAUGGGUAAAGAAGCACCGGCUAACUACGUG